CUACCAAAGAGCCCGGAAUAACCGGCCGAAAGGCUGGCUAAUACUGGAUAGUUCAAGCCUGUUGUAAUGGCAGGAUUGGGAAAGGGAGCGGGCAACCGCCUUCACUUUUUGAUGAGCCCGCGUCUGAUUAGCUAGUUGGUAGGGUAAUGGCCUACCAAGGCUGAGAUCAGUAGCUGGUCUGAGAGGAUGAUCAGCCACACUGGAACUGAAACACGGUCCAG
Molecule: ribosomal RNA, 221 nt
Filed under: uncultured bacterium
Lineage: Bacteria
Description: partial 16S ribosomal RNA
Rfam family: Bacterial small subunit ribosomal RNA
Source: RNAcentral